Molecule: ribosomal RNA, 271 nt
Filed under: uncultured prokaryote
Description: partial 16S ribosomal RNA
Rfam family: Bacterial small subunit ribosomal RNA
Source: RNAcentral
UACGUAGGUGGCGAGCGUUGUCCGGAUUUACUGGGCGUAAAGGGAGCGUAGGCGGACUUUUAAGUGAGAUGUGAAAUACUCGGGCUUAACCUGGGUGCUGCAUUCCAAACUGGAUAUCUAGAGUGCAGGAGAGGAAAGGAGAAUUCCUAGUGUAGCGGUGAAAUGCGUAGAGAUUAGGAAGAAUACCAGUGGCGAAGGCGCCUUUCUGGACUGUAACUGACACUGAGGCUCGAAAGCGUGGGGAGCAAACAGGAUUAGAUACCCCUGUAGU